This 30-nucleotide small RNA is filed under the name Bombyx mori (domestic silkworm). RNAcentral describes it as "ovarian small RNA-35548". Lineage: Eukaryota; Metazoa; Arthropoda; Insecta; Lepidoptera; Bombycidae. The record is from RNAcentral.
UGUAUUUUAUACAGCUUGACCCGGCGUCGU